Cyprinus carpio carpio is the source of this 496-nucleotide long non-coding RNA. The record is from Ensembl. Lineage: Eukaryota; Metazoa; Chordata; Actinopteri; Cypriniformes; Cyprinidae.
GAACAGGGGUUUUUCUUCUCCCAGGGGGAUUGAGCAGACACAGGGUAAUUUGUAGUGAAAUUUCCAGCAGGGUUCGUUUUGCAGGUGGCUGAGUGCAGAGGGUGUGGUGAGGAAUGAGAGAGGCAAUUUGCUGGCUGAAGGCUGUGAAUAUGAGCAUUGUUGUACAGCAGCAGGUCGGGUCGUGAGGCGAUGGGCUUCGAGAUCAGUGGCGGUUUGAUAGCAGGAAAGGUGGCAAGGAGGGUGAUCCUUUGAGAUUUUCUAUUGGAUUCAAGUCAGGUGAUUGGCUGAGCUGUUCUAGCAGCUUUAUUUUAUUUCUCUGAAAGCAACUGAGAGUUUCCUUGGCUGUGUGUUUGGGAUCAUCGUCUUGCUGAAAUGUCCACCCUCAUUUCAUCUUCAUCGUCCUGGUAAAUGGCAACAGAUUUUGAUUAAGAAUGUCUAGAAAUCUUGCGAGGAGCACCUGCUCGUGGUCGGUUUAUGGUGAAAUGAUGUUCCUUCC